RNAcentral lists this small RNA (173 nucleotides) under Octodon degus (degu). RNAcentral's name for it is "TUC338 (ENSODEG00000022590.1)". Lineage: Eukaryota; Metazoa; Chordata; Mammalia; Rodentia; Octodontidae. The record is from RNAcentral.
GUGACUGCUUUGGAAACUGAACAACGUCAAUUAUCCACAGCACAGAUAGAAACUGGCCAGUAGCAGCACAGAUGACUUCAUGCUGCCCUGCCAGUGUGCCUCAAAAUCCUUUCUUAGAACCUCAUGCAGUAGGAACGUUUUAAGUCUUCACUCAGUCCAGUAAGAUUUCCAAU